CAGCCGCCACGGUAAUACGUAGGUGGCAAGCGUUGUCCGGAAUUAUUGGGCGUAAAGGGCUCGCAGGCGGUUUCUUAAGUCUGAUGUGAAAGCCCCCGGCUCAACCGGGGAGGGUCAUUGGAAACUGGGAAACUUGAGUGCAGAAGAGGAGAGUGGAAUUCCACGUGUAGCGGUGAAAUGCGUAGAGAUGUGGAGGAACACCAGUGGCGAAGGCGACUCUCUGGUCUGUAACUGACGCUGAUGUGCGAAAGCGUGGGGAGCAAACAGGAUUAGAUACCCGCGUAGUCCCUGUCUCUUAUAC
This 301-nucleotide ribosomal RNA is filed under the name uncultured bacterium. RNAcentral's name for it is "partial 16S ribosomal RNA". It matches the Rfam family "Bacterial small subunit ribosomal RNA", at positions 509 to 807 of the family's 1533-position model. The record is from RNAcentral.